AGAUUUUAGUUAUCUACUUGGAUAACUGUGGUAAUUCUAGAGCUAAUACAUGCACAAAAGCUCGGACCUUACGGAAAGAGCGCAUUUAUUAGAACAAAACCAAUCGGUCGCACGUUUCGGCGUCGGCCGGCAAAUUGGUGACUCUGAAUAACUAAGUUGAUCGCACAGUCUUAGAACUGGCGACGUAUCUUUCAAAUAUCUGCCUUAUCAACUUUCGAUGGUAGGUUAUACGCCUACCAUGGUUAUAACGGGUAACGGAGAAUAAGGGUUCGACUCCGGAGAGGGAGCCUGAGAAAUGGCUACCACAUCCAAGGAAGGCAGCAGGCGCGCAAAUUACCCAAUCCCAGUACGGGGAGGUAGUGACGAAAAAUAACGAGAUAGUCCACUAUGUGGCCUGUCAUCGGAAUGGGUACAAUUUAAAUCUUUUAACGAGGAUCUAUUAGAGGGCAAGUCUGGUGCCAGCAGCCGCGGUAAUUCCAGCUCUAAUAGCGUAUAUUAAAGUUGUUGUGGUUAAAACGCCCGUAGUUGAUUUUUCGACUUUGGAGCGUGGUAUCUCGAAAGAGUUUUCACUGCGUCUUCAAGUCUGAAUUUAAGUUUUCUAUGGAUGCUCUUUAUUGAGUGUCCUUAGUGACUUGAACGUUUACUUUGAAAAAAUUAGAGUGCUUAAAGCAAGCUUUACGCUUGAAUAAAGUGCAUGGGAUAAUGGAAUAGGACUUUAGUCUUAUUUUGUUGGUUUUCGAGAUUAAAGUAAUGAUUAAGAGGAAUAGACGGGGGCAUUCGUAUUGUUGCGUUAGAGGUGAAAUUCUUGGAUCGCAGCAAGACGAACAACUGCGAAAGCAUUUGCCAAGAAUGUUUUCAUUAAUCAAGGACGAAAGUUAGAGGUUCGAAGGCGAUCAGAUACCGCCCUAGUUCUAACCGUAAACGAUGCCAACUGGCCAUUCGCCGGUGUUAAUAAAUGACUCGGCGGGCAGCCUCCGGGAAACCAAAGUGGUCUGGUUCCGGGGGGAGUAUGGUUGCAAAGCUGAAACUUAAAGGAAUUGACGGAAGGGCACCACCAGGAGUGGAGCCUGCGGUUUAAUUGACUCAACACGGG
Molecule: ribosomal RNA, 1093 nt
Filed under: aff. Mermithidae sp. Pa1
Lineage: Eukaryota; Metazoa; Nematoda; Enoplea
Description: SSU rRNA
Rfam family: Eukaryotic small subunit ribosomal RNA
Source: RNAcentral